CAGGAAGGGAAAAGAGAAGAGGGCAAGAGCCCAUCCCCCAAGAAAGGAAGGGCUCUGAUGCAGAGGGAGCAGGAGCUGAGGUGGAGAUGGCCACUGCCUCUCUCACCCUCUGCUCAAGAAAAGCAGGCUUAGCAGAGUGGGACAGAUGCUUUUUAUUGGUCUGGCUGGUGUGCCUAGUGGAAAGCUCAGGCAGAGCUUCCUAUCUUGCCCUGGCUCCCAUCUUUCCUCUCCUGGGAGUUCAUCACACACCCCAAGAGGGAAGAGUGUCCUGGGCAGAGGUGGCAGGCAAAGCCAGGGUAAAAACUCCAGGGCUGGGAAGCAAAUGGGGCUCAGGGUGAUGCAGAAAAUGUGACGUUGCCAGGCCAUCCAAAUAAAGCAUCCAUCAGGGCAGAGGAGAAGCUGUUUCCCUGCAGAGACUCCUCUGCCCCCACCAGGAAUGAGAGGGGCAGGAGGAAGAGCUUCCCAGAGAGGCUCCCUACUGGGCCCUUCGUGCCAUCAGCAUCUCCCGGAUGUUGUUCUCAGCUUCCUUAACGCUCCGCUCCAGAGUCUUGCUCUGUUGCCCAGCCUGGAGUGCAGUGGCACGAUCUCGGUUCACUACAACCUCCACCUCCUGGGUUCAAGAGAUUUUCCUGCCUCAGCCUCCCAAGUAACGGGGAUUACAGGUAAGGAAACUUAAACGAUGGCCAAAGAACAGAAGAGGAAAGACAGUAGUAACUCAGUGACCUGGCUCCCAAAGCAGUGAAUUUCCCUGGAACAACAUGGUUAAGGUUCUUCCAAAGUAUAACUAAAAGAUCACAGGAUCUGGACUGAAGAACAAGAAGUCACAAGCUUAAAGGAAAAAAAAAACUAGAACAGUAUGAAAGAGAACACAGUUGCUUUCCUUUUGCCCCAUGGAACUAGCUUCCAAUUAUUGAGCACUUACUAUGUAACACUGUAUAUGUAUUAUUUGUGAUAUAUAAGUUAUUGGCGGUACCCAAAGAACCAAGAAUACUAUAACUCAGACUGUAGAGCUCAUAAUUGGCUUUAUUUAUUUGAGGCAAAGAAAACUGUGGAAGGAGACACUGAACCCCCAAACAGAAAGUUGAGAAUAAAAAGGAGAGAGUUUCACCCAUAAUCUUUUUCCUAUUCAUUUUAAUAUAUUGUAAACAUAUAGUUUUGUAUCUUAAAAUUCUUAUUGUAUCUUUAUUCUUAAAUUUGUUUCUCAAAUAUUCAAACCACAAAUUUAAAAAUAUUUGGUUUUAAAUGAAUAUUUUUUAAAAACUGAUUUGAACUUAUCUCUAUGAAAGUCCUACUUUGUUAAAUCUGCAUUUUCAAAAGCAAUCAUUUCUUCCUAAUAACUAGCAACUUAGACUUAAAGGUGGUAAGGGACCCACAGCACAGUCUUUACAUUUUAUUUAAAUUUGACAUAGCCUCAGGAAAUAAUCUGUAACUUCUUUGCUAUUAAGCUGGGUUUUUUAAAAAAACACCAUUUGGGAGGCCAAGGCAGGAGGAUUGCUUGAGGCCAGACGUUUGAGACCAGUCUGAGCAACAUAGCAAGGCCUCAUCUCUGAAAAUAAUUUAGCAAUUAGCCAGGUGCGGUGGUGUGUGCCUGUAGUCCCAGCUACUCCGGUGGCUGAGGCAAGAGGGUCACUUGAGUCCAGGAAUUUGAAGUUGCAGUGAGCUAUGAUUGCACCACUGCACUCCAGCCUGAGCAACAGAGGAAGGCCCUGCCUCUAAAGAAUAAAAAUAAAAAUAAACCACUCACAUCGUUCUAAUCUCUAAACAACUAUUGAAGCGCUUCACUCUCCAGCCUCCCACCACUAUCAUACACCCAAAGCCUUAAGUAAAUGAUAAUUCAUUUAAAUUAACAGAAAUCAUUUAAAUGUAUUUCCAAAAUAUAUUUAUGCUUUGUAUGUUUUGUUCAUUUGCUAUUAAUAUAUCCUCCAAGCAAUUUGAAAUGUCAUAAAAUUAAUAAUGCAAGAGUAAGGUAAUUAAUUGCUCAAACACUUUAACAAAGAAAUUCC
This 2003-nucleotide long non-coding RNA is filed under the name Homo sapiens (human). Its description in RNAcentral is "LHRI_LNC775.1". The record is from RNAcentral. Lineage: Eukaryota; Metazoa; Chordata; Mammalia; Primates; Hominidae.